GGGCGUGCCGGAGAUACUGGUGUAUCUUGAGACCGGGAGGAGUCAGAAGUAUGCCUAAGGGAGCGGUAAAAUGCUGUAAUCUUAGGUAGACUACCGGUGGCGAAGGCGUCUGACUAGAACGGGUCUGACGGUGAGGGAUGAAAGCUAGGGGAGCGAGCCGGAUUAGAUAUCAAGAACCAUUGGUUUUUGAGUCUUUCAAAAAUCUUUGAUUUUUGACUAGAUACCCGGGUAGUCCUAGCCGUAAACGCUGCCCGCUUGGUGUUGCAUAUUCUACAGGAGUAUGCAGUGCCGUAGCGAAGGCGUUAAGCAGGCCGCUUGGGAAGUAUGGUCGCAAGGCUGAAACUUAAAGGAAUUGGCGGGGGAGCACUACAAGGGGUGGAUGCUGCGGUUUAAUUGGAUUCUACGCCGGGAACCUUACCAGAAGCGACAGCAGGAUGAAGGUCAUAUUGAAGGUAUUACUCGACACGCUGAGAGGUGGUGCAUGGCCGCCGUCAGCUCGUGCCGUGAGGUGUUCGGUUAAGUCCGAGAACGAGCGAGACCUAUGCCCUCUGUUGCUAAUGUUCUCAAAGAGAGCAAGCACACCGAGGGGACUGCCUGCGUAAGCA
This 605-nucleotide ribosomal RNA is filed under the name uncultured archaeon. Its description in RNAcentral is "bacterial SSU rRNA". It matches the Rfam family "Archaeal small subunit ribosomal RNA", at positions 568 to 1120 of the family's 1478-position model. The record is from RNAcentral.